This 69-nucleotide transfer RNA is filed under the name Orthetrum melania. Its description in RNAcentral is "tRNA-Ser(AGN)". The record is from RNAcentral. Lineage: Eukaryota; Metazoa; Arthropoda; Insecta; Odonata; Libellulidae.
AAGAGUAUGAUGUACAAAAUGAAGCUGCUAACUUCUAUUUUUAGCGGUUUAAUUCCGUUUAUACUCUUA